This 253-nucleotide ribosomal RNA is filed under the name uncultured bacterium. RNAcentral's name for it is "partial 16S ribosomal RNA". It matches the Rfam family "Bacterial small subunit ribosomal RNA", at positions 524 to 776 of the family's 1533-position model. The record is from RNAcentral.
UACGGAGGGUGCAAGCGUUGUCCGGAAUCACUGGGCGUAAAGGGCGCGCAGGCGGCUCAUUUUGUCAGGCGUGAAAGCCCCGGGCUUAACCUGGGAACUGCGUUUGAUACGGAUGGGCUAGAGUUCGGGAGAGGAGAGUGGAAUUCCCAGUGUAGAGGUGAAAUUCGUAGAUAUUGGGAAGAACACCGGUGGCGAAGGCGACUUACUGGACACAUAUUGACGCUGAGGUGCGAAAGCGUGGGGAGCAAACAGG